Long non-coding RNA from Bacillus rossius redtenbacheri, 106 nucleotides. RefSeq lists it as uncharacterized. The record is from RefSeq and is a predicted model, not a curated record. The transcript has 2 exons. NCBI's taxonomy places the organism in Eukaryota, Metazoa, Arthropoda, Insecta, Phasmatodea, Bacillidae.
GAGAGGAGGCUGGAUCGCGUGGGUGGUUAUCUUUAUCUACUCUGCAUGGAGAAAAAAAGACAAAAAUUGAAUACUACUACUGCGAUUCAGUAUGAAGAGAGAAAAA